This 560-nucleotide ribosomal RNA is filed under the name uncultured bacterium. RNAcentral's name for it is "bacterial SSU rRNA". It matches the Rfam family "Bacterial small subunit ribosomal RNA", at positions 238 to 788 of the family's 1533-position model. The record is from RNAcentral.
CUAUCAGCUUGUUGGUGAGGUAGUUAGCUUACCAAACAGCAGACGGGUAGCUGGUCUGAGAGGAGGAUCAAUCACACUGGCAGUGGAACACCGGCCAGACUAAUCCGGGAGGCAGCGGUGAGGAAUAUUGGUCAAUGGCAGUAAACGUGCACCAGCCACGCCGCGCCAGUGAUGAAGCCCUUCAGGUCGUAAAACUUCGUGGGGAGGGAGGAAAAUCCGCAGGAGGAAACAUUAGUGUCUACAAGCAGCCUCGGAAGCAAGCACCGGCUAAAUCUCAGCCAGCAGCCAAGGUAAUACAGAGGGUGCAAACGUUGCUUGGAUUUCCUGGGAGUAAAAGGAGUGUAGGCGGCCUCGCAAUUCGGUUGGGAAAUCCCUGGGAUCAACCUAGGAACUGCAUCCGAAACUGCUUGUCUUGAGUAAUGGAGAGGGUGGCGGAAUUCCCGGUGUAGAGGUGAAAUUCGUAGAUAUCGGGAGGAACAUCAGUGGCGAAGGGUGCCACCUGGACAUUUACUGACAUUGAGAAAUAUUAAUCGUGGGGAGCAAACAGUAGGAGAUACCCC